UCCCGGUGAUCCCAGCGGCGGCGGCGCCGAUGGGGUUCGAAGAACACGAGGCAGUUCUCUCCGCUUUCUUAGAUUGAUUAGGAGCAGUGAUGUAGUGGAUCUGGGUUCAUGGGUUUCGACCUCGGUUCUGGAUCCGGCCCGGUUGAUCCAACCGACGUUCUGUCUCACGAUGAUAGAUGGUUAUUCUUUUCCUGUCAUUAAACCCAACAUGAAGAUGACGACAUCUCAAAGAUGCAUCAUGAAUUUGAGCGGACGAAACAGAUGCCUAAGAUGAAUCCUCAAGACUUGAGUAUUUCUUGAGAAGUAUAUGAGCUCCAGUCUUGCAGUUUUGUUAUAGUUUCUGUGCAGAAAACUAUUUUGGUUGUCGUAAGCUUAUUAGUACGGAGAAAAAAAAUGUGUACAUGUGUCGUGAUCAAAUGAGAGGUCAUGUGUGAUUAAUGGACUUCUUAUGUUUGAGCAAGAGAAAAUAUGGCAAGCCGCACCGGGAGUUUGUGAAGAUUCUAUGCACAUACGAAGACAUAUUUGAGCUUCGAAAGCGAGUCGAAGCAUUUGCUUUGCAGUAUGAGAUGCAUGCUUCUAGCUAUCAGAGAGAUUGUUCAUGCGUUAACAGAGGACUUCUGACUUAUAAGUUUUGAUGCCUAAAACUCUAUAAAGUAUGAUCACCAUUGAGCCCAACGGUUUCCUCUUUUUGAGUCACUCUCAGAUUGGAUGCUUGACAGUGCUUCCGGCUAUUCUUACAACCAGACCAAUGGUCUGCACUAUGAGGUUCUGGAUUCAAUUACAGUUACUCAAUAGACGUUGGGUGACACAAGAUGAAGCAUACCAUGCAGUUAAAGAAAACAUGGCAAGAGGCAACCAAGAGAAGCGUGCCUAGGAUGGCUGGUUCUACUUUAUGGAGUAAGUCCAGUGUCGCAAGAUAUCUUUUUAUAGCGUGCCUACGAGCUUCUUCAAGGAGGAUGUCUUUUUAGUGGCACAAGAUCAAGAAAUCUGCUUCGGAAUGUUUCAUAACCGAUGGAAACUUUUAAUGCAAUGCAUGUGUAGGAGUGACAGAGUGCGAGUAUUAUGUAUUUUAAAUCCCCACUACAUAGUUUUUGGAUUCUAUGCAUUGCAUGUUGUCUGAAUGAGAGUAGUUUUGUAUGUAUUUUAAAUUCCUACUACUCUA
Long non-coding RNA from Brassica rapa (field mustard), 1162 nucleotides. RefSeq lists it as uncharacterized. The record is from RefSeq and is a predicted model, not a curated record. NCBI's taxonomy places the organism in Eukaryota, Viridiplantae, Streptophyta, Magnoliopsida, Brassicales, Brassicaceae.